RNAcentral lists this ribosomal RNA (422 nucleotides) under uncultured bacterium. RNAcentral's name for it is "bacterial SSU rRNA". It matches the Rfam family "Bacterial small subunit ribosomal RNA", at positions 30 to 455 of the family's 1533-position model. The record is from RNAcentral.
AUUGAACGCUGGCGGCAUGCCUUACACAUGCAAGUCGAACGGCAGCGCGGGGCAACCUGGCGGCGAGUGGCGAACGGGUGAGUAAUAUAUCGGAACAUACCCUAGAGUGGGGAUAACGUAGCGAAAGUUACGCUAAUACCGCAUACGCACUAAGGUGGAAAGUGGGGGAUUCGCAAGAACCUCAUGCUCAUGGAGUGGCCGAUAUCUGAUUAGCUAGUUGGUGAGGUAAAGGCUCACCAAGGCAACGAUCAGUAGCUGGUUUGAGAGAACGACCAGCCACACUGGAACUGAGACACGGUCCAGACUCCUACGGGAGGCAGCAGUGGGGAAUUUUGGACAAUGGGGGCAACCCUGAUCCAGCAAUGCCGCGUGAGUGAAGAAGGCCUCGGUUGUAAGACUCUUUGUCUAGGGAAGAAACGGUA